RNAcentral lists this ribosomal RNA (534 nucleotides) under uncultured bacterium. RNAcentral's name for it is "bacterial SSU rRNA". It matches the Rfam family "Bacterial small subunit ribosomal RNA", at positions 8 to 535 of the family's 1533-position model. The record is from RNAcentral.
AGAGUUUGAUCCUGGCUCAGAUUGAACGCUGGCGGCAUGCCUUACACAUGCAAGUCGAGCAGCAGCACGGAGCUUGCUCUGGUGGCGAGUGGCGAACGGGUGAGUAAUAUAUCGGAACGUGCCCUGGAGUGGGGGAUAACGUAGCGAAGGUUACGCUAAUACCGCAUACGAUCUACGGAUGAAAGUGGGGGACCUGCGAGAGCCUCAUGCUCGUGGAGCGGCCGAUAUCUGAUUAGCUAGUUGGUAGGGUAAAAGCCUACCAAGGCAUCGAUCAGUAGCUGGUCUGAGAGGACGACCAGCCACACUGGGACUGAGACACGGCCCAGACUCCUACGGGAGGCAGCAGUGGGGAAUUUUGGACAAUGGGGGCAACCCUGAUCCAGCAAUGCCGCGUGAGUGAAGAAGGCCUUCGGGUUGUAAAGCUCUUUUGUCGGGGAAGAAACGGAUUGNCUUAAUACGCUGGUCUAAUGACGGUACCCGAAGAAUAAGCACCGGCUAACUACGUGCCAGCAGCCGCGGUAAUACGUAGGGUGC